GUAAAAUGAACCUCUUUGCUCUUAGGGCCGCAACACACCAUUUGCUCUAUGACGUUUCCUCCAAGAGAAAGGAGAGAGAAGCGAUCAAUGUGUGAUACUAUACAGAUACAGAUAAACCACCUAAUGGUAAGUAUUACACUCACAUUUUAAAGAGCAUUGAAUUCCUGGCUCUGAGUGUAAAAACAAUGAAAAAGUCCAAUAUAAAGUCCAGAUCAUCCAAAAC
Molecule: non-coding RNA, 223 nt
Organism: Pelobates cultripes (western spadefoot toad)
Lineage: Eukaryota; Metazoa; Chordata; Amphibia; Anura; Pelobatidae
Source: the annotation of a GenBank genome assembly